This 507-nucleotide ribosomal RNA is filed under the name uncultured bacterium. RNAcentral's name for it is "partial 16S ribosomal RNA". It matches the Rfam family "Bacterial small subunit ribosomal RNA", at positions 28 to 507 of the family's 1533-position model. The record is from RNAcentral.
GACGAACGCUGGCGGCGUGCCUAAUACAUGCAAGUCGAACGCAUUUUCUUUCACCGUAGCUUGCUACACCGAAAGAAAAUGAGUGGCGAACGGGUGAGUAACACGUGGGUAACCUGCCCAUCAGCGGGGGAUAACACUUGGAAACAGGUGCUAAUACCACAUAAUUCCAUUUACUGCAUGGUAGAUGGAUGAAAGGCGCUUUUGCGUCACUGAUGGAUGGACCCGCGGUGCAUUAGCUAGUUGGUGGGGUAACGGCCUACCAAGGCUGCGAUGCAUAGCCGACCUGAGAGGGUGAUCGGCCACACUGGGACUGAGACACGGCCCAGACUCCUACGGGAGGCAGCAGUAGGGAAUCUUCGGCAAUGGACGCAAGUCUGACCGAGCAACGCCGCGUGAGUGAAGAAGGUUUUCGGAUCGUAAAACUCUGUUGUUAGAAAAGAACGAGGAUGAGAGUGGAAAGUUCAUCCCUUGACGGUAUCUAACCAGAAAGCCACGGCUAACUACGUG